UCCGAGGAACUGAGGGGUCCGACCCCGCCGCCCUGCGCUGCCGCGCUCCUCCGCUCCAGCAGGGGGCGAGAGCGGCCCGCGCCGCCCCGCCGGGGGCCGCUCUGUCACCGCACGGCGCCUCGGCCAUGGCGGCGGGCGCCCGGCGGACCGUGUACCCGCUGUUCCAGCUGGGCGGCCCGCAGCUGCGGAUCUUCCGGCCCAACUUCUUCAUGCUGGCGGUGCGGCCCGGCGUGCCGCAGCCCGAGGACACCGUCCAGUUCCGCGUCUCCAUGGAGAUGACGAAACUGGAUAUCAAGAAUUACCUUGAAAAAAUAUACAAUGUGCCGGUAGCUGCUGUGAGGACGAGGAUACAGCAUGGUGCAAACAACAAGAGGAAUCACAGGAAUCAGCGAGUGAAGAAGCCGGAUUACAAGGUUGCCUAUGUACAGCUGGGGCAAGGACAAACCUUUCAGUUUCCCAACCUAUUUCCAGAGAAAGAACAAGACACAGAAACUCGCUCUUUUGAUGACUUCAGGAAUAAAUAUAUGGAAAGAGAGAAGCAGAGGCAGAAAGGUGACCUCAGACGAGGUGGAGUCCCCGACUGGUUUGGACUUUGAUGCAACAAGCCAGCUGCCUUUCUUUAGCCUCAGAGGGAUUUUGAUCAGCAGAACUUGCACUCUUCCCUUCUAGUAAUGACUGAAUGUUUAUUCUCGAGCAGCCCUUGCUAGCAUGUUUUUUUUUCCUGGCUCUUUGUGCACGACUACAACAAAAUGGCCCUAAAGAAAUAAAAAGGUUAACUCCAGCUUCUUCACCAUGGUGAAGAUGAAAUGAAAAAGAUACAUCUUUCGAACUUGUUGGUCAGCCUUGAGCAAGCAAACAGUCAGGUAUGUGAUAGUUGUGGAUAAGCGAGGCCAUAUUCCAUGUGUUAGGUGUAACAGCAAGAGAUACAUUAACCAUCAGCUUCUCUCCCUUCCCUGUUAUGGCCCUUGGGAGAGGUUGGAGUCACCAGCUUCUGUCUGGCAUUGAGGACCCAAGCUGAGAGGAGUUUAUCUGCGGUCCCAAAUACGCUGUAGGCUGAGUACCUUAGUUCUGUUUCAGCCUUGAAAUAUUGCUUGUUGUUCAGUGUCGCUUGGAGCCCAGGAGCCAGGGAGAGCCUGCUUCACCGCUUGACUUCUCAACAACUCCAGAAGAGGCCUGUGUGACAUGAACCUCUCUAAUGGGGCCUGUCCAAGUUGCUGGAGUUCUGGCUCUGUGCGUUGGAGGACCAUCUCGGUUGUUUCCCACUUGCUUCGUUACACUCUGCUGGUUGAUUUGCUGCGUCGUCGUGGGGAGCCGGCUUGUUGUGAUGCCCAUGGAGGAGAAUGUAUGCAUAUUUGCAUACUGAUGCUAAUGCAGCCUUUCAUGUGCAAACUUUGGGCCCGAGAAGAUUUAUGCUGAACUCUCAAACAUAUGCUGUUCAAGUGCUUUGAAAUAUUGAGUGAAGUGUGUUCAUCUUUCACUGGCUGGAGUAAAGAUACAUCAGAAAUUGGUUUCCAGGAAAAAUACCCUUGAAAGUCAGAGGAAGAGCCUAUCAUCUAUUUACUAAGACAUAGUCAUUCCCCUCCAGCAAUCAGCCCUGUACUGGGUAUCUGCAUUAUGCCUGGAUCUUUGUCUAAAUGAUAAUCCAGCACACAGUUAAUAUCAGAGAGGCUUAAUCAGCAGAAGAUCUGGCUCUGAUCUGCCAGCUCAAUGAAACCAAGAGCAGUCUGUUACAAGGUCUGAGGUACAGCUUGACUUUAAAUACCUGCUUAAGUGCUUUUGUACUUUCAGUUACUGGGAAAAAGUUGCUGGGAUUCUUGGGUGGAAAUCUGUAAUUCACGCCCUUGCAAGGGGUCAGCAGAAAUGGGCAUCGUGCUCCUCCUGGCCUUAAAGGCUGCAGCUUGAUCUUGGUCUCUGUCUGGCAGCGCAUUUCAAGCCCCAGCUGAUACUGCAUGGACUUGGACAGUCUUGCCUUUUUACGCACUUGCUGUUCCAUGACCCGCUGGCAGGAUCGCUUGCCCCCAUAAUUCAUACUGACAAGGUUCAUAAUGCACAGAGCCAGCCUGCAGCAUCCAGCCUGUAAAUUGCCCUAAGGCUGAAAAAAAAAAAAAAAUAUAUAUAUCUGUCAGCA
This is an RNA transcript of Tyto alba (common barn owl), 2128 nucleotides long. It is a transcript of the gene named mitochondrial ribosomal protein L23, with no coding region annotated. The transcript has 9 exons. The record is from RefSeq and is a predicted model, not a curated record. NCBI's taxonomy places the organism in Eukaryota, Metazoa, Chordata, Aves, Strigiformes, Tytonidae.